RNAcentral lists this ribosomal RNA (548 nucleotides) under uncultured beta proteobacterium. Its description in RNAcentral is "bacterial SSU rRNA". It matches the Rfam family "Bacterial small subunit ribosomal RNA", at positions 355 to 896 of the family's 1533-position model. Lineage: Bacteria; Pseudomonadati; Pseudomonadota; Betaproteobacteria. The record is from RNAcentral.
UGGGGAAUUUUGGACAAUGGGCGAAAGCCUGAUCCAGCAAUACCGCGUGCAGGAAGAAGGCCCUCGGGUUGUAAACUGCUUUUGUACGGAACGAAACGGCGCGCUCUAAUAAAGUGCGCUAAUGACGGUACCGUAAGAAUAAGCACCGGCUAACUACGUGCCAGCAGCCGCGGUAAUACGUAGGGUGCAAGCGUUAAUCGGAAUUACUGGGCGUAAAGCGUGCGCAGGCGGUUUUGUAAGACAGGCGUGAAAUCCCCGGGCUUAACCUGGGAAUUGCGCUUGUGACUGCAAGGCUAGAGUACGGUAGAGGGGGGUAGAAUUCCGCGUGUAGCAGUGAAAUGCGUAGAUAUGCGGAGGAACACCGAUGGCGAAGGCAGCCCCCUGGACCUGUACUGACGCUCAUGCACGAAAGCGUGGGGAGCAAACAGGAUUAGAUACCCUGGUAGUCCACGCCCUAAACGAUGUCAACUGGUUGUUGGGAAUUUACUUUCUCAGUAACGAAGCUAACGCGUGAAGUUGACCGCCUGGGGAGUACGGCCGCAAGGUUG